UACGACUGUGGCUAGAGUUGUUCGGAUUUACUGGGCGUAAAGCGCGUGUAGGCGGGUCGUUAAGUUGGAGGUGAAAUCCCGAGGCUCAACCUCGGAACUGCCUUCAAAACUGGCGACCUGGACUCAAGUAGAGGCAAGUGGAAUUGCGAGUGUAGAGGUGAAAUUCGUAGAUAUUCGCAGGAACACCAGUGGCGAAGGCGACUUGCUGGACUUGUAGUGACGCUGAGACGAGAAAGCGUGGGGAGCAAACAGG
RNAcentral lists this ribosomal RNA (253 nucleotides) under uncultured bacterium. Its description in RNAcentral is "partial 16S ribosomal RNA". It matches the Rfam family "Bacterial small subunit ribosomal RNA", at positions 524 to 776 of the family's 1533-position model. The record is from RNAcentral.